GGAUGCAAUCUCUUUGUUUCUCAACCUCUUCACUUCUCUCCCUUCGAUUCUCAAAGGCACAGUCUCGAUGGUCAAGUCAUCCUUCACUUGAACAUCGUCCGAUUCAAUCACGUGUGUCGGAUCAGACACAUACUUGCGCAACUGUGAUACAUCGAAAACAUCGUGCAAAUUCGCCAAUGAUGGCGGUAAUGCAAUCCUAUACGCAACUUUCCCAACUCGCUUCAAAAUCUCAAACGGCCCAAUAUCCUCGAUGUUAACUUCCUUGACUUCAACGCACGUCCUACUCCAGUAGUCGAUGUAACUCGUAGGAAUACAUGAUCCCCCUCUUGGAAUUCAAUGUCCUUCCUCCUCUUAUCAUGAUAACUCUUCUGUCGACUCUGAGACGCUUUCAUCUUCUCACAAAUCAUCCGAAUCUUCUCUGUUGUUUCUUGUACAAUCUCUAGUCCAAGAAUUGCACCUUCUCCAGUUUCAUACCAACACAGAGGUGUCCUACACCUUCUCCCAUACA
RNAcentral lists this long non-coding RNA (508 nucleotides) under Trifolium pratense (red clover). Its description in RNAcentral is "long non-coding RNA (TPRA_LNC012586)". Lineage: Eukaryota; Viridiplantae; Streptophyta; Magnoliopsida; Fabales; Fabaceae. The record is from RNAcentral.